GAUCAUGGCUCAGAACGAACGCUGGCGGCAGGCUUAACACAUGCAAGUUGAACGGGAUUUGUGUGGUGCUUGCACCAUAUAAUGAGAGUAGCGCACUGGUGAGUAACACGUGGGAACGUACCUUUUGGUGGGGGACAACAUCUGGAAACGGAUGCUAAUACCGCAUAAGACCUGAGGGUGAAAGAUUUAUCGCCGAAAGAACGGCCCGCGGAAGAUUAGGCAGUUGGUGGGGUAAGGGCCUACCAAACCUACGA
This 254-nucleotide ribosomal RNA is filed under the name uncultured bacterium. RNAcentral describes it as "partial 16S ribosomal RNA". It matches the Rfam family "Bacterial small subunit ribosomal RNA", at positions 15 to 279 of the family's 1533-position model. The record is from RNAcentral.